UGCUGAGUUGUUGAAAGAACUGGAGC
This 26-nucleotide non-coding RNA is filed under the name Callithrix jacchus (white-tufted-ear marmoset). Lineage: Eukaryota; Metazoa; Chordata; Mammalia; Primates; Cebidae. RNAcentral also lists the same sequence under 1 other name. The record is from RNAcentral.